RNAcentral lists this ribosomal RNA (1355 nucleotides) under metagenome. Its description in RNAcentral is "bacterial SSU rRNA". It matches the Rfam family "Bacterial small subunit ribosomal RNA", at positions 85 to 1423 of the family's 1533-position model. The record is from RNAcentral.
GGCGCAUAAAGCGGCGAACGGGUGAGUAACACGUGGAUAAUCUGCCUUUUGGUGGGGGAUAACGGCUGGAAACGGCCGCUAAUACCGCAUACGGUAGCGAGGUCUUAGGGCCUUGCUAAGAAAGGGGCCUCAAAGCCCUGCCAGAAAAUGAGUCCGCGCCCCAUUAGCUAGUUGGCGGGAUAAUAGCCCACCAAGGCUUCGAUGGGUAGCCGAGCUGAGAGGUUGAUCGGCCACACUGGGACUGAGACACGGCCCAGACACCUACGGGUGGCAGCAGUAGGGAAUAUUGGACAAUGGGGGAAACCCUGAUCCAGCGAUGCCGCGUGGAUGAUGAAGGCCUUCGGGUCGUAAAGUCCUUUUCUGAGGGAAGAAACGUCUGGUGAGGAAAUGCACCGGAUUUGACGGUACCUCAGGAAUAAGCAACGGCUAACUCCGUGCCAGCAGCCGCGGUAAUACGGAGGUUGCAAGCGUUGUUCGGAAUAACUGGGCGUAAAGGGAGCGCAGGCGGCUUGAUAAGUCUAAAGUGAAAACCCAGGGCUCUACUCUGGAACUGCUUUGGAUACUGCCAAGCUUGAGUACGUGAGAGGAGAUUGGAAUUCCAGGUGUAGCGGUGAAAUGCGUAGAUAUCUGGAGGAACACCGGUGGCGAAAGCGGAUCUCUGGCACGUUACUGACGCUGAGGCUCGAAAGCGUGGGGAGCAAACGGGAUUAGAUACCCCGGUAGUCCACGCCGUAAACGUUGUGCACUAGGUGUAGGAGGUAUCGACCCCUUCUGUGCCGCAGCUAACGCAUUAAGUGCACCGCCUGGGGAGUACGCCCGCAAGGGUGAAACUCAAAGGAAUUGACGGGGGCCCGCACAAGCGGUGGAGCAUGUGGUUUAAUUCGAGGCAACGCGAAGAACCUUACCCAGGCUUGACAUCCCAGGACAGCCCAUGAAAGUGGGUCUUCCCUUCGGGGACCUGGAGACAGGUGUUGCAUGGCUGUCGUCAGCUCGUGUCGUGAGAUGUUGGGUUAAGUCCCGCAACGAGCGCAACCCUUGUCCUUAGUUACCAGCGGGUUAUGCCGGGCACUCUGAGGAGACUGCCGAUGAUAAGUCGGAGGAAGGUGGGGACGACGUCAAGUCAUCACGGCCCUUACGCCUGGGGCUACACACGUGCUACAAUGGUCGGUACAGAGGGAUGCAAGACCGCGAGGUGGAGCAAAUCCCAAAAAGCCGGCCUCAGUUCGGAUUGCAGUCUGCAACUCGACUGCAUGAAGUCGGAAUCGCUAGUAAUCGUGGAUCAGCUACGCCACGGUGAAUACGUUCCCGGGCCUUGUACACACCGCCCGUCACAUGACCCGAGUUGGGUGCACCCA